UACGUAGGGGGCAAGCGUUGUCCGGAAUCAUUGGGCGUAAAGAGCGUGUAGGCGGCCCUGUAAGUCCGCUGUGAAAGUCCAGGGCUCAACCCUGGGAUGCCGGUGGAUACUGUCGGGCUCGAGUCCGGAAGAGGAGUGUGGAAUUCCUGGUGUAGCGGUGAAAUGCGCAGAUAUCAGGAGGAACACCAAUGGCGAAGGCAGCACUCUGGGACGUGACUGACGCUGAGACGCGAAAGCGUGGGGAGCAAACAGG
RNAcentral lists this ribosomal RNA (253 nucleotides) under uncultured bacterium. Its description in RNAcentral is "partial 16S ribosomal RNA". It matches the Rfam family "Bacterial small subunit ribosomal RNA", at positions 524 to 776 of the family's 1533-position model. The record is from RNAcentral.